AUAGCUUCUCGGCCUUUUGGCUAAGAUCAAGUGUAGAAACACUGCAUCCAAGAGAUAUUCAAAGCUGGUACAGGGACUGCCCUAGACAGAGGUGGAGCUAAUACCCCAUAUCAUAAGCUCCUCAUAUUCCAU
RNAcentral lists this small nuclear RNA (132 nucleotides) under Nomascus leucogenys (northern white-cheeked gibbon). RNAcentral's name for it is "U2 spliceosomal RNA". It matches the Rfam family "U2 spliceosomal RNA". From Rfam's summary of the family: U2 is a small nuclear RNA (snRNA) component of the spliceosome (involved in pre-mRNA splicing). The record is from Rfam by way of RNAcentral. Lineage: Eukaryota; Metazoa; Chordata; Mammalia; Primates; Hylobatidae.